RNAcentral lists this long non-coding RNA (3011 nucleotides) under Sus scrofa (pig). RNAcentral describes it as "lncRNA (ENSSSCG00015068647.1)". Lineage: Eukaryota; Metazoa; Chordata; Mammalia; Artiodactyla; Suidae. The record is from RNAcentral.
AAAAAGAGAAAGUGUGAGAGGGGCUAACUAAGACUGAAGGAAUAGGGAUGUCCUCCUAAGGCAGCAGAACUACAACUGCAGCUUGCAGGAGCUCCUGUUGUGGCUCAGUGGGUUAAGAACCUGACCAGUAUCCAUAAGGAUGCAGGUUCUAUCCCUGGCCUCACUCAGUGGGUUAAGAAUCCGGCAUUGCUACAAUCUGCAGUGCAGGUCGCAGAUGUGGCUCAGAUCCUGUAUUGUGGCUGUGGCACAGGCCUAAAGUUGCAGCUCCAAUUCAACCGCUAGCCUGAAAACUUCCAUAUGCGGCAGGUAUGGCCCUAAAAAGAAAAACAAAAAGCAAAAAACAAACAAACAAACAAAACCUGCAGCCUGCAAAUGACCACAAGUCAGCCAUUGGGAGGAUGGAGGAGGAGAGACUGUCAAGGACAGAAAAGAGGCUAAUGAAUCUGAAAGCUAAUGGGGCCAAUGGAUCAGGAGCAAGACGAAGGCAACUUAAGAUGAGGUGGGAGACAUGGUCACGUGCUGGGUCAUGGUGGGCUUUGCAAACUUUGUCAUAGGUUUGACUUAUUCUUUAAAGUAUAAAUGGGGACCAUGAAAGGGUGUUCAGAUCACAGUAAUAUUUUAUGAUUUAUACUUUUUAAAAGGCACUCUGACUUUUAUGUAAAUAAUUAAUUGGAGGGUCCAAGAGUGAGAUGAGGACUGUUGCUAGGUUUCCACAAUCAUCCAGGUGACAAACAAUGGUGGCGUAGAAUCAAAUAGUGACAACAGAGAGGGACACACUUGGGUGGAGCUAACUUUUAAUUGGGGGGUACAAUCAACAUCUAUUCAUCUCUUUGAACCUUUUAUUGUCCUUUUAACAAAGGAUCAAAUAGUAGUUCCUCAGCCAAUUCCAUAGGAUUUUGGUGAGGACCCAAUGAGACAGAAGUGUAAUUUUUUUAUGGAUGAAAUAUAUAUUAUUACUGUGUAUUGUGACUAUAGGCUAUCUACUUCCAGUUGGUUUAAAACCUCAACCUAUAAGAGAAAACCAGUCUAACCAAAGCAGAACAGUGGGAGACGUGUCCACACAUUUGUUAUUUUACUUGCCCAGGAACCUCACAGAAGUGGGAACAGAGAUGUCCAAAGGGCAUAUCUAGGCUCCACUCUACCUGGACCUACACCAUUCAAUGGAAUAAACAGGUCUAAAGGAGGCUUAGACAAGCUCUGAGGCCCCUAAAGCCCCACUAGCUACGGAGCCUCCAUCUAUAGUGCCCUAAAUUACAUCAUAAGGGCCCACAGGAGUUCUCUCAACACCUAAUUUACUGUUAGAGAGUGCCUUGAGCAAAAGUGACCCAUAAAGCUGCCAUGUAGCAUGACCAUUCCUUAAGAAUUUCAGAAACAAAAUAAUGCCUUAAGAGAUCAACUAACUCUGAGUAUGAAAUAUGUUUUCUGUGGCAUGAUACAGUUGUGUCUAUAUACAGAGCAAAACAUCACUUGAAAUGUGGACUCCUGAGUUCCCUGGUGGCUCAGAGGGUUAAGGACCUGGCAUUGUCACUGCUGUGGCACUGGUUCCAUCCCUGGCCCAGGAACUGCUGCAUGCCACAGAUGUAUAUAUAACAAAAUGUGGACUCCUCGGAGGAAAGAUUAAACCUUUCAAAGCCCAAAGAAUUCACAAAUUCACGUUUAUUUUGAAAAUGCAUUUCAUGCUUUUCUUGUAUUAGAAAACAGAGUAUGUUGGGUAUAAUUUGCUUAAUUUAAAAAAUUAUGUUGGUACAAUGUCAUUGUGCUUUUGAUAUUAUCCUUCUAGAUUUCAUUGGCUAAAUCAUCUGUCUUCUCAUAGGUAAAACAAGGCUCUUUAACUAACAGGGGUUUGCAAAGUCUCUGUGGUAAGGAAUCAAUUUUGGGGUUUUUCGUCUGUUUAAUUCUCAAAUGUCCAAUCAAUUCAGGCCAUUAAAUUGCCCUAGAGCAAGGGACUAGUAGCUCAUACUACGAGGUGCCUCGCCAGGUGAGUUUGAAACCACUGCAAUGGUUGAUACCCUGUUCAAGCACUGACCUGAAUGUCCCACAAAAUGGAACAGCCGUCAAAGUGUUACAGUGGUUCCUCUCAGUUUCAAUAUUUAUAUUCUCACGCAUGUGUAAUAAACAGUUCUAAAGCACUGAUCUGUAGGAAACAUCAGGUAUGGCCCAGAGCUAGAUGAUGCCUAAGAUCCAUCCGACCCAAAGGGUCUGGAAUGUAUGACCUUGAUGAGAAUCAUUUAUUUCACAGACACUUUAAUAGAGUUACUAAGAGAUGUUAGCUCCCUAAGAAACGUUGGGUCCCCUGUGGUUUCUGAGUGUGCUUUUCUAAGAUUCUUUUGAGUUCUCUUGAGGCCGUUGCUUGAGUCCAAAAAGAUCUGGUCUUCUGGGCUAUUCUAUUAGGAUUUCCUUCUUGUGGCCUCACACUUCUGUUCUUGCUUCUGCCCUCCGGGUUCACAACAGGUUUGACUGCUUCAACAUUGGCCACCAAUCCUACUUGCUGUCUCUGGCCCCGCUCUUGGCUCUUUGCCUGAUAUAAAACCUAGGUCUUAAGUUCUCUGGCCAACCCCAUUCCUUUCCUAUGAAAAUGCACAGGCUAUGAGACAAUUCUUCCUCUGGCUUAAAGACUGUGCCCCCUUAUCUCAUGCUAAUUUUAGCUUCACAAUUGUCUUGAAAGAUCCAAACUUCCAACAGCUAGAUAAAGGGUUCAUUAUUCUCACAUUUCUUUGAACAAUGAACAACCAAAAAAUCAGAUAAGAGAGCAAUUUCUGAACAGUCUUCUAAAUGUUAAAAUCUAAUUUUGAAAUUUGUUAAAAUGAUAAAAUAUUUUAAAAUAUUUCUCAACCUUCAAAGUGUUCAUCUUAGGAAGCAGCCACAUUUGCUUUUUUUUUUUUUUUAAAGAAAAUAGGGAGUUCCCGUCGUGGCGCAGUAGUUAACGAAUCCGACUAGGAACCAUGAGGUUGCGGGUUCAAUCCCUGUCCUUGCUCAGGGGUUAAGGAUCCAGGGUUACCGUGAGCUGUGGU